AACGAACGCUGGCGGCAGGCCUAACACAUGCAAGUCGAGCGAGGACUUCGGUCCUAGCGGCGGACGGGUGAGUAACGCGUGGGAACGUGCCCUUUGCUUCGGAAUAUCCCUGGGAAACUGGGAGUAAUACCGGCUGAGCCCUCUGGGGGAAAGAUUUAUCGGCGAAGGAUCGGCCCGCGUUGGAUUAGGUAGUUGGUGGGGUAAUGGCCUACCACGCCGACGAUCCAUAGCUGGUUUGAGAGGAUGCUCAGCGACACUGGGACUGAGACACGGCCCAGACUCCUACGGGAGGCAGCAGUGGGGAAUCUUAGACAAUGGGGGAAACGCUGAACUAGCCAGGACGCGUGAGCGAUGAAGGCCGUAGGGUUGUAAAGCUAUUUAAGCUGGGAAGAUAAUGACGGUACCAGCAGAAGAAGCCCCGGCUAACUCCGUG
RNAcentral lists this ribosomal RNA (433 nucleotides) under uncultured bacterium. RNAcentral's name for it is "partial 16S ribosomal RNA". It matches the Rfam family "Bacterial small subunit ribosomal RNA", at positions 29 to 507 of the family's 1533-position model. The record is from RNAcentral.